Molecule: non-coding RNA, 30 nt
Filed under: Cricetulus griseus (Chinese hamster)
Lineage: Eukaryota; Metazoa; Chordata; Mammalia; Rodentia; Cricetidae
Source: RNAcentral
UUGCUGUGAUGACAAUCUUAGGACACCUUU